RNAcentral lists this ribosomal RNA (56 nucleotides) under uncultured freshwater diatom. RNAcentral describes it as "partial 28S ribosomal RNA". Lineage: Eukaryota; Bacillariophyta. The record is from RNAcentral.
GAUCUCAGCUCAAACAAGGUUACCCGCUGAAUUUAAGCAUAUCAAUAAGCGGAGGA